RNAcentral lists this ribosomal RNA (497 nucleotides) under uncultured bacterium. Its description in RNAcentral is "partial 16S ribosomal RNA". It matches the Rfam family "Bacterial small subunit ribosomal RNA", at positions 28 to 507 of the family's 1533-position model. The record is from RNAcentral.
GAUGAACGCUGGCGGCGUGCCUAAUACAUGCAAGUCGAGCGAACGGACGCGAAGCUUGCUUCUCUGAUGUUAGCGGCGGCCGGGUGAGUAACACGUGGAUAACCUACCUAUAAGACUGGGAUAACUUCGGGAAACCGGAGCUAAUACCGGAUAAUAUUUUGAACCGCAUGGUUCAAAAGUGAAAGACGGUCUUGCUGUCACUUAUAGAUGGAUCCGCGCUGCAUUAGCUAGUUGGUAAGGUAACGGCUUACCAAGGCAACGAUGCAUAGCCGACCUGAGAGGGUGAUCGGCCACACUGGAACUGAGACACGGUCCAGACUCCUACGGGAGGCAGCAGUAGGGAAUCUUCCGCAAUGGGCGAAAGCCUGACGGAGCAACGCCGCGUGAGUGAUGAAGGUCUUCGGAUCGUAAAACUCUGUUAUUAGGGAAGAACAUAUGUGUAAGUAACUGUGCACAUCUUGACGGUACCUAAUCAGAAAGCCACGGCUAACUACGUG